This is a long non-coding RNA of Zea mays, 186 nucleotides long. RefSeq lists it as uncharacterized. NCBI's taxonomy places the organism in Eukaryota, Viridiplantae, Streptophyta, Magnoliopsida, Poales, Poaceae. The transcript has 3 exons. The record is from RefSeq and is a predicted model, not a curated record.
GGCGUGGACAGAACAGCGGCAGGGCGGGGAGAAAAGACAAGUCUGUACAGGGAGGAGCUAUCGCAGCAAGGUGCACGUCCAAAUGAUGUUGAUCGAAUGGUUCAACAAGGAUUUGCAAAGUGGUUUAUGUCCCAUGUUGAGAAGAAGCGUAAUGAGAAUCUAGAAUUGGUUAGCGAAGGACUGUGG